AUCCAUCUGACGAGUCCCAAAUAGGACGAAAUGCGCAUCCUGGAU
This is a non-coding RNA of Trichobilharzia regenti, 45 nucleotides long. The record is from Rfam. Lineage: Eukaryota; Metazoa; Platyhelminthes; Trematoda; Strigeidida; Schistosomatidae.